GGGUUGUGAGGUUAAGCGACUAAGCGUACACGGUGGAUGCCCUGGCAGUCAGAGGCGAUGAAGGACGUGCUAAUCUGCGAUAAGCGUCGGUGAGGUGAUAUGAACCGUUAUAACCGGCGAUUUCCGAAUGGGGAAACCCAGUGUGUUUCGACACACUAUCAUUAACUGAAUCCAUAGGUUAAUGAGGCGAACCGGGGGAACUGAAACAUCUAAGUACCCCGAGGAAAAGAAAUCAACCGAGAUUCCCCCAGUAGCGGCGAGCGAACGGGGAGGAGCCCAGAGCCUGAAUCAGUGUGUGUGUUAGUGGAAGCGUCUGGAAAGGCGCGCGAUACAGGGUGACAGCCCCGUACACAAAAAUGCACAUAUUGUGAGCUCGAUGAGUAGGGCGGGACACGUGGUAUCCUGUCUGAAUAUGGGGGGACCAUCCUCCAAGGCUAAAUACUCCUGACUGACCGAUAGUGAACCAGUACCGUGAGGGAAAGGCGAAAAGAACCCCGGCGAGGGGAGUGAAAAAGAACCUGAAACCGUGUACGUACAAGCAGUGGGAGCCUCUUAAUGGGGUGACUGCGUACCUUUUGUAUAAUGGGUCAGCGACUUAUAUUCUGUAGCAAGGUUAACCGAAUAGGGGAGCCGAAGGGAAACCGAGUCUUAACUGGGCGUUAAGUUGCAGGGUAUAGACCCGAAACCCGGUGAUCUAGCCAUGAGCAGGUUGAAGGUUGGGUAACACUAACUGGAGGACCGAACCGACUAAUGUUGAAAAAUUAGCGGAUGACUUGUGGCUGGGGGUGAAAGGCCAAUCAAACCGGGAGAUAGCUGGUUCUCCCCGAAAGCUAUUUAGGUAGCGCCUCGUGAAUUCAUCUCCGGGGGUAGAGCACUGUUUCGGCAAGGGGGUCAUCCCGACUUACCAACCCGAUGCAAACUGCGAAUACCGGAGAAUGUUAUCACGGGAGACACACGGCGGGUGCUAACGUCCGUCGUGAAGAGGGAAACAACCCAGACCGCCAGCUAAGGUCCCAAAGUCAUGGUUAAGUGGGAAACGAUGUGGGAAGGCCCAGACAGCCAGGAUGUUGGCUUAGAAGCAGCCAUCAUUUAAAGAAAGCGUAAUAGCUCACUGGUCGAGUCGGCCUGCGCGGAAGAUGUAACGGGGCUAAACCAUGCACCGAAGCUGCGGCAGCGACACUAUGUGUUGUUGGGUAGGGGAGCGUUCUGUAAGCCUGUGAAGGUGGCCUGUGAGGGUUGCUGGAGGUAUCAGAAGUGCGAAUGCUGACAUAAGUAACGAUAAAGCGGGUGAAAAGCCCGCUCGCCGGAAGACCAAGGGUUCCUGUCCAACGUUAAUCGGGGCAGGGUGAGUCGACCCCUAAGGCGAGGCCGAAAGGCGUAGUCGAUGGGAAACAGGUUAAUAUUCCUGUACUUGGUGUUACUGCGAAGGGGGGACGGAGAAGGCUAUGUUGGCCGGGCGACGGUUGUCCCGGUUUAAGCGUGUAGGCUGGUUUUCCAGGCAAAUCCGGAAAACCAAGGCUGAGGCGUGAUGACGAGGCACUACGGUGCUGAAGCGACAAAUGCCCUGCUUCCAGGAAAAGCCUCUAAGCAUCAGGUAACAUCAAAUCGUACCCCAAACCGACACAGGUGGUCAGGUAGAGAAUACCAAGGCGCUUGAGAGAACUCGGGUGAAGGAACUAGGCAAAAUGGUGCCGUAACUUCGGGAGAAGGCACGCUGAUAUGUAGGUGAAGCGACUUGCUCGUGGAGCUGAAAUCAGUCGAAGAUACCAGCUGGCUGCAACUGUUUAUUAAAAACACAGCACUGUGCAAACACGAAAGUGGACGUAUACGGUGUGACGCCUGCCCGGUGCCGGAAGGUUAAUUGAUGGGGUUAGCGGCAACGCGAAGCUCUUGAUCGAAGCCCCGGUAAACGGCGGCCGUAACUAUAACGGUCCUAAGGUAGCGAAAUUCCUUGUCGGGUAAGUUCCGACCUGCACGAAUGGCGUAAUGAUGGCCAGGCUGUCUCCACCCGAGACUCAGUGAAAUUGAACUCGCUGUGAAGAUGCAGUGUACCCGCGGCAAGACGGAAAGACCCCGUGAACCUUUACUAUAGCUUGACACUGAACAUUGAGCCUUGAUGUGUAGGAUAGGUGGGAGGCUUUGAAGUGUGGACGCCAGUCUGCAUGGAGCCGACCUUGAAAUACCACCCUUUAAUGUUUGAUGUUCUAACGUUGGCCCCUAAUCGGGGUUGCGGACAGUGUCUGGUGGGUAGUUUGACUGGGGCGGUCUCCUCCUAAAGAGUAACGGAGGAGCACGAAGGUUGGCUAAUCCUGGUCGGACAUCAGGAGGUUAGUGCAAUGGCAUAAGCCAGCUUGACUGCGAGCGUGACGGCGCGAGCAGGUGCGAAAGCAGGUCAUAGUGAUCCGGUGGUUCUGAAUGGAAGGGCCAUCGCUCAACGGAUAAAAGGUACUCCGGGGAUAACAGGCUGAUACCGCCCAAGAGUUCAUAUCGACGGCGGUGUUUGGCACCUCGAUGUCGGCUCAUCACAUCCUGGGGCUGAAGUAGGUCCCAAGGGUAUGGCUGUUCGCCAUUUAAAGUGGUACGCGAGCUGGGUUUAGAACGUCGUGAGACAGUUCGGUCCCUAUCUGCCGUGGGCGCUGGAGAACUGAGGGGGGCUGCUCCUAGUACGAGAGGACCGGAGUGGACGCAUCACUGGUGUUCGGGUUGUCAUGCCAAUGGCACUGCCCGGUAGCUAAAUGCGGAAGAGAUAAGUGCUGAAAGCAUCUAAGCACGAAACUUGCCCCGAGAUGAGUUCUCCCUGAGACUUAGAGUCUCCUGAAGGAACGUUGAAGACGACGACGUUGAUAGGCCGGGUGUGUAAGCGCAGCGAUGCGUUGAGCUAACCGGUACUAAUGAACCGUGAGGCUUAACCUUACAACGCCGAAG
This 2925-nucleotide ribosomal RNA is filed under the name Escherichia coli. RNAcentral describes it as "23S ribosomal RNA". It matches the Rfam family "Bacterial large subunit ribosomal RNA". Lineage: Bacteria; Pseudomonadati; Pseudomonadota; Gammaproteobacteria; Enterobacterales; Enterobacteriaceae. The record is from RNAcentral.